GACGAACCGUCCAAACGUUAUUCGGUAUCACUGGGCUUAAAGCGUACGUAGGCGGCCUAGCAGGUGAGGUGUGAAAUCCCUCGGCUCAACCGAGGAACUGCGCUUCAAACCGUUAGGCUUGAGGGAGACAGGGGUGAUGGGAACUGUUGGUGGAGCGGUGAAAUGCGUUGAUAUCAACAGGAACACCGGUGGCGAAAGCGCAUCACUGGGUCUCUUCUGACGCUGAGGUACGAAAGCUAGGGGAGCGAACGGG
RNAcentral lists this unclassified non-coding RNA (253 nucleotides) under uncultured Pirellulaceae bacterium. RNAcentral describes it as "contains 16S-23S intergenic spacer region". It matches the Rfam family "Bacterial small subunit ribosomal RNA", at positions 524 to 776 of the family's 1533-position model. Lineage: Bacteria; Pseudomonadati; Planctomycetota; Planctomycetia; Pirellulales; Pirellulaceae. The record is from RNAcentral.